CCUACGGGAGGCAGCAGUGGGGAAUAUUGCACAAUGGGGGAAACCCUGAUGCAGCGACGCCGCGUGAGCGAUGAAGUAUUUCGGGAGGUAAAGCUCUAUCAGCAGGGAAGAAAAUGACGGUACCUGACUAAGAAGCCACGGCAAACUACGUGCAAGCAGACGAGGUAAUACGUAGGGGGCAAGCGUUAUCCGGAUUGACUGGGUGUAAAGGGAGCGUAGACGGCGGUGCAAGCAAGAUGUGCAAGCCCGGGGCUCAACCCCGGGACUGCAUUUGGAACUGUGUGGCUGGAGUGUCGGAGAGGCAGGCGGAAUUCCUAGUGUAGCGGUGAAAUGCGUCGAUAUUAGGAGGAACACCAGUGGCGAAGGCGGCCUGCUGGACGAUGACUGACGUUGAGGCUCGAAAGCGUGGGGAGCAAACAGGAUUAGAUACCCUUGUAGUC
This 440-nucleotide ribosomal RNA is filed under the name uncultured bacterium. RNAcentral describes it as "partial 16S ribosomal RNA". It matches the Rfam family "Bacterial small subunit ribosomal RNA", at positions 338 to 795 of the family's 1533-position model. The record is from RNAcentral.